AUGGAAACAUACAAAGACAUAUUUUAUGAUAAGGAAAAAAAAUUCUUUUUACAUUUAAUGAUUUAUGUGAGUAGAUUUUUUAUGAAUGAUGAAGAAAUUGUAGUAUUUGAUUUAUUUGUUCAUAAUGAAUGUUUAUAUUUAGAAAAAGAUAUAAUAAGCAUAAUUAAUAUGAAUGAGCAAAAAGUAAGAAGUAUAUUAUCAAAACUAUUAAAAGAGAAAUUCAUUAUUCAAGUACAAAAAUACAAAAAUAAUGAAAAAGGAUCUAGCUAUCAAACUUAUUACUGCUUGAAUAAUUACAUUGUAUAUGUAAUAGACUUUAGAAUAAAAAAAAUGGAAAACGAAUUAAAAAACAAAAAAAGUGAAAACGACGUAUAUAUAUGUAACGCUUGCAAUGCGACUUAUUCGCAGCUGGAUGCACAACUACUACCAUUAGAUUCGUAUGAUGCUCAUUUUUUAUGUUUUUGCAACAACAAAAUUGAGCUAAUAGAAAAAGACGAAUAUAACAAUGAAAUCCUUUAUAACAAAUACAUGAAAUAUUUAAAUAUAUUAAAAGAGCACAUAGAAAAAUUAAAAAACUAUUUUAUACCCCUAUAUACAGAAAAGAUAAACAAAUACAACACCAAUACGUUAGUAUCAGAUUGCUCUUCAGAUAAUAACUCAUUAACUUAUAAUUCGUCAGAAGUGUCAUACACAAAUUAUUCUUCUGUGGUAUCACAUGGUAAGGAGACCCACAACGGUACUCACACAUGCAUAUGUGUAUGUGUCUAUAUGUGUAUGUUCGUGAGUAAAUAUACAUGCAUAUGUUCCUAUUUUUGCAUGUGCGAAUUUAUUUUCCUAAUUAUAGGCAACAACAGUAAAGUAAUUGAUAAUGAAACAAAAAAAAAAGAAGACCUAAAUACUACUGCUCAUAAUAAUAGUAUUAUAAAAAAAGACAAAAAAAUAAAAAUAUGCAUGAACAUGAACAAUAAAAACAAUGUAAAGACCCCAAAUAACAAUGGUAUCGUAAAGAUAUCAAGCAUGAUACAUAAUCAUAAAGAAGAAAGUAUACAUAAUAAAAAGAAUAAAGAAAACCAUAAAAUUAAUAACAUCAAUAAUAAUAGUAACAAAAAUAGGAACAGCAAUAGUAUCAAUCAUAGUAAUAGCUCUAAUACGCUAUUACAAGAAAAUAAUAUAACUAACAACAAUAUGCAAGUAGAAGAAGAAACAAACAAAUCUGAAAUGCCACUGUUUUAUAUUCAGAAGUUUGACAAAUCUUUCAAGCUCAUUGGUAAUAACUUCUUUGUUUUUUUGUGACUUGCAUAAAUACAUACGUACGUGUACAUAUGUAUAUGUACAUAUAUUAUUCGUUCAUAUGUAUAUAUAUCUUUUUUUUUUUUUUUUUUUUUUUUCAGAGGCACAAAAAUUACAACAAGAUAUGACACACGAGGAAUUCGAAACCUUUAUACAACUACAAGAUGAGUACCUGGAUCAGAUAUAAGAGGUACAAAAUGAGUAGUGUGUGCAUUAUUAAAUGUAUAAAAAAAAAAAUAUAUAUAUAUAUAUCACAAAUUGUUUCCUUAACUUAAGGAACGAUUUAUAGACCGAAAAAAAGGAACCGAAAUAAACAAAUUUGCUUUUUAUAUUUGUCA
This 1628-nucleotide long non-coding RNA is filed under the name Piliocolobus tephrosceles (Ugandan red Colobus). RNAcentral describes it as "lncRNA (ENSPTEG00000017458.1)". Lineage: Eukaryota; Metazoa; Chordata; Mammalia; Primates; Cercopithecidae. The record is from RNAcentral.